This 2008-nucleotide long non-coding RNA is filed under the name Homo sapiens (human). RNAcentral's name for it is "HSALNT0239561". Lineage: Eukaryota; Metazoa; Chordata; Mammalia; Primates; Hominidae. The record is from RNAcentral.
ACGGAGUCUGGCUCAAUCUCAGCCUAAUGCAACCUCUGCCUCCCAAAUUCAAGCAAUACUCCUGCCUCAGCCUUCCAAGUAGCUGGAACUACAGGUUAUGCACCACCACGCCCGAUUAAGUUUUGGAUUUUUAGUAGAGAUGGGGUUUCACCAUGUUGGUCAGGCUGGUCUCAAACUCCUGACCUCAAGUGGUCCACUUGCCAUGGGCUCCCAAUUACAGGCAUGAGCCACCAUGCCUGGCUGACAUGGUCCUUAUUCUUAAGGCAUGGCUUUCUGAUGUCUUAACUGGAUCUCCAGGUGUUAACAAGGCCUCUACACUCUGACUGAGCAAGAACUCCAGUAUCUUCUAGCACUACUUGACUUCUAGUAUUUUUGCUCCACUCUCAACCUCAUAACAGCCCUUCCUGAACAGUCCUUAGAGGUAAAGUGGACACUUCAUCUGCCUUACCAGUGCCCAUGCACGUCCUCAUCUUCCUUACCAAGAGAACCCAGAACUGGUUCAGAGAUCCAGGCCUCCCACCUCAGACUCAUAAGAAGAGAGCUUCUCUUCCUCCUCUGGACGCUGUCCUGUGUGUAGCACUCAGGACUGCUGAAGACAUCUAGGUAACAGCUUGAAGGUGAAACCAGCACUGAGGUUUCCUGAUUCCUGGGUGGAGCGCAGACUGGAGCCUAAGCCCUGACAGCAUGGGACUUGCAGCUCAAGUAUAUCUGUGCUUCACUGGAAGAGUUGAAAGAGCUGGAGACUGUCUGUGAUCAAUGAGCCCCUGUCACUCUCAUGACACUUUCCUGAACCAUUUCACCAGCACUCAGGCAGAAGAGGAGGACAGCAGGUGAAGUCAGAGAGAUUCAAAGCACAAGGAUUCAACUUUCUGUUGCUGGCCUUGAAGAUGCAGGAGGCCAUGAGCCAAGGAAUGCAAGCAGCCUCUGGAAGUUGAAAACGACCUAAGUGCUCAGUCCUACAGCUGCAUGGAACUGAAAUCUGCCAACACCCUGAGUGAUCCGGAAGUGGAUUUUCUCCCAAAGCCUCCUGAUAGGAGCCCCAGCCAGCUGACAGAUUGACUUCAGCACUAUGACAUCAAAGAGCCCACCCAAGGCUGUUACUGGAAGGAGGGCCUUGAGUGUAAGUUAUUCAGUUUCUUGGCGUUUUGAACAAAGACUUGGACAAAACACACAAAGUAACAAAGGACUGAAACAUAGGAACGAAGUAGGGAAAGCAGGAAUGUAUUAAAGUGAAAAAGGACCCCACAGGGUGGGAGUCGGCCCAAGCAGGUGGCUCAAGGGCCCAGUUGCAAAGUUUUCUGGGUUUUAAGUUCUCCUGUUCAGAUUCCUAUUGGCUACCCUUUAUCUGGAUGAAGAAUUUGGCCUGUGGCUAAUUAAAGGAUGAAGUGAAUUGGUGUCCUAUGCGAUGAAGGGAUGGUCCCUGCUUGGUCCUCGGCCCAUCGAAGGCACUCUCCCUGUCCAUCUGAGACAUUGAGUAGCCUUUGCUCCUUUGCUACUCUGGAGCGGGGAGGUGGGGUUUUUCCUUUUGGUUUAGCUUUAGGAAGUUGGUUUAAUUGGCCUUAGCUUCCCUGACCGUAGACCCAGGUGCUAUCCUUUUGAUUCAGCUUUAGGAAGUCAGCACGAAUUGGCCUCAGAUUCCGUGUCCCCACACCUUGGUGUUUUUCCUGGAUUCAGCACCAAUUGUCCUUAAGUUCCCUGCCUCCAGACCCUUAUUCUCCUUCCUGAAGACAGCUUGAACUUCUGACCCACAGAACUAGGAGCUAAUAAAUGAGUGUAGUUUUAAGCCACCGAGUUUGGCAAUUUGUUACAACAGCUGUCGAAAAUGAAUGUAAUCUACAAAAUAGGAGACUGUCACUUAGGGGAGGGACAGUAAUGCGUUGUGAGCACCUGGAGGGCAGAAACUGGGUGUUAUUUAUUUGGAGGCCUUACAGCCUGAUAUGUAGUAAAUGCUCAAUAAAUAUAAGUGAAUGAAUCAAUGAAUAAAUGUUAAAAGGAUAAGCAAAGGAGC